AGUGAACGCUGGCGGUAGGCCUAACACAUGCAAGUCGAACGGCAGCACAGUAAGAGCUUGCUCUUACGGGUGGCGAGUGGCGGACGGGUGAGGAAUACAUCGGAAUCUACUUUUUCGUGGGGGAUAACGUAGGGAAACUUACGCUAAUACCGCAUACGACCUACGGGUGAAAGCAGGGGAUCUUCGGACCUUGCGCGAUUGAUUGAGCCGAUGUCGGAUUAGCUAGUUGGCGGGGCAAAGGCCCACCAAGGCGACGAUCCGUAGCUGGUCUGAGAGGAUGAUCAGCCACACUGGAACUGAGACACGGUCCAGACUCCUACGGGAGGCAGCAGUGGGGAAUAUUGGACAAUGGGCGCAAGCCUGAUCCAGCCAUACCGCGUGGGUGAAGAAGGCCUUCGGGUUGUAAAGCCCUUUUGUUGGGAAAGAAAAGCAGCAGGUUAAUACCCCGCUGUUCUGACGGUACCCAAAGAAUAAGCACCGGCUAACUUCGUG
Molecule: ribosomal RNA, 492 nt
Filed under: uncultured bacterium
Lineage: Bacteria
Description: partial 16S ribosomal RNA
Rfam family: Bacterial small subunit ribosomal RNA
Source: RNAcentral